AAGUCGUAACAAGGUUUCCGUAGGUGAACCUGCGGAAGGAUCAUUAAUGAAUUUUAGGACGUUCUUUUUAGAAGUCCGACCCUUUCAUUUUCUUACACCGUGCACACACUUCUUUUUUACACACACUUUUAACACCUUAGUAUAAGAAUGUACUAGUCUCUUAAUUGAGCAUAAAUAAAAACAAAACUUUCAGCAACGGAUCUCUUGGCUCUC
Molecule: unclassified non-coding RNA, 213 nt
Filed under: air metagenome
Description: partial contains small subunit ribosomal RNA, internal transcribed spacer 1, and 5.8S ribosomal RNA
Rfam family: Eukaryotic small subunit ribosomal RNA (bases 1-46)
Source: RNAcentral